Molecule: ribosomal RNA, 503 nt
Filed under: Candidatus Woesebacteria bacterium
Lineage: Bacteria; Candidatus Woeseibacteriota
Description: bacterial SSU rRNA
Rfam family: Archaeal small subunit ribosomal RNA
Source: RNAcentral
GAGCCGAGAGAUGGUGCAUGGCCGCCGUCAGUUCGUGUCGUGAGAUGUCCUGUUAAGUCAGGCAACGAACAAGACCUAUACCUACAUUUGCUAGCGGGUCCUUUAGGACGACCGAGAACAAUGUAGGGACUGCCUUCGAAAGAAGGAGGAAGGUGUAGGCAACGGUAGGUCUGUAUGCCUCGAAUCUCCUGGGCUACACGCGCGCAACAAUGGUAGGGACAAUGGGAUGCCACUCCGAGAGGAGAAGCCAAACCUCAAAACCCUAUCCAAGUCCAGAUUGAGGGCUGCAAUUCGCCCUCAUGACGAUGGAAUUCCUAGUAAUCGGAUCUCAACAGGGUCCGGUGAACAUGUCACUGUGCCUUGCACACACUGCCCGUCAAGCCACUCGAGCAGGGCCUUGGUGAGGUCGUAUUGUUUUGAUACGUUCGAAUCUGGGCUCAGUAAGAAGGGUUAAGUCGUCACAAGGUAGCCGUAGGGGAACCUGCGGCUGGAUCACCUCCUAU